RNAcentral lists this ribosomal RNA (915 nucleotides) under uncultured archaeon. RNAcentral describes it as "bacterial SSU rRNA". It matches the Rfam family "Archaeal small subunit ribosomal RNA", at positions 1 to 923 of the family's 1478-position model. The record is from RNAcentral.
UUCCGGUUGAUCCUGCCGGACCUGACUGCUAUCGGAUUGAUACUAAGCCAUGCGGGUCAUUGUAGCAAUACAAGGCAGACGGCUCAGUAACGCGUAGUCAACCUAACCUAUGGACGGGAAUAACCUCGGGAAACUGAGAAUAAUGCCCGAUAGAACACUAUGCCUGGAAUGGUUUGUGUUCCAAAUGGUUUAUCGCCGUAGGAUGGGACUGCGGCCUAUCAGUUUGUUGGUGAGGUAAUGGCCCACCAAGACUAUUACAGGUACGGGCUCUGAGAGGAGUAGCCCGGAGAUGGGUACUGAGACACGGACCCAGGCCCUAUGGGGCGCAGCAGGCGAGAAAACUUUGCAAUGUGCGAAAGCACGACAAGGUUAAUCCGAGUGGUUUGUGCUAAACAGACCUUUUGUUAGUCCUAGAAACACUAACGAAUAAGGGGUGGGCAAGUUCUGGUGUCAGCCGCCGCGGUAAAACCAGCACCUCAAGUGGUCAGGAUGAUUAUUGGGCCUAAAGCAUCCGUAGCCGGCUCUGUAAGUUUUCGGUUAAAUCUGUAUGCUCAACAUACAGGCUGCCGGGAAUACUGCAGAGCUAGGGAGUGGGAGAGGUAGACGGUACUCGGUAGGAAGGGGUAAAAUCCUUUGAUCUAUUGAUGACCACCUGUGGCGAAGGCGGUCCACCAGAACACGUCCGACGGUGAGGGAUGAAAGCUGGGGGAGCAAACCGGAUUAGAUACCCGGGUAGUCCCAGCUGUAAACUAUGCAAACUCAGUGAUGCAUUGGCUUGUGGCCAAUGCAGUGCUGCAGGGAAGCCGUUAAGUUUGCCGCCUGGGAAGUACGUACGCAAGUAUGAAACUUAAAGGAAUUGGCGGGGGAGCACCACAAGGGGUGAAGCCUGCGGUUCAAUUGGAGUCAACGCCGGAA